This 478-nucleotide ribosomal RNA is filed under the name uncultured Glomus. Its description in RNAcentral is "SSU rRNA". It matches the Rfam family "Eukaryotic small subunit ribosomal RNA", at positions 569 to 1050 of the family's 1831-position model. The record is from RNAcentral. Lineage: Eukaryota; Fungi; Glomeromycota; Glomeromycetes; Glomerales; Glomeraceae.
AGCAGCCGCGGUAAUUCCAGCUCCAAUAGCGUAUAUUAAAGUUGUUGCAGUUAAAAAGCUCGUAGUUGAAUUUCGAGAUCAGUACGCUGGUCGUGCCUUCGGUAUGCACUGGUGUCACUGGUUUCUCCCUUCUGAAGAACCGUCAUGUCAUUAAGUUGGUGUGGCGGGGAAUCAGGACUGUUACUUUAGAAAAAAUUAGAGUGUUUAAAGCAGGCUCGCGCUUGAAUACAUUAGCAUGGAAUAAUGAAAUAGGACGUUUGACCCUAUUUUGUUGGUUUCUAGGAUCGACGUAAUGAUUAAUAGGGAUAGUUGGGGGCAUUAGUAUUCAAUUGUCAGAGGUGAAAUUCUUGGAUUUAUUGAAGACUAACUACUGCGAAAGCAUUUGCCAAGGAUGUUUUCAUUAAUCAAGAACGAAAGUUAGGGGAUCGAAGACGAUCAGAUACCGUCGUAGUCUUAACCAUAAACUAUGCCGACUAGG